RNAcentral lists this ribosomal RNA (442 nucleotides) under uncultured bacterium. RNAcentral's name for it is "partial 16S ribosomal RNA". It matches the Rfam family "Bacterial small subunit ribosomal RNA", at positions 338 to 795 of the family's 1533-position model. The record is from RNAcentral.
CCUACGGGAGGCUGCAGUAGGGAAUCUUUCACAAUGGGCGAAAGCCUGAUGGAGCAACGCCGCGUGCAGGAUGAAGGCCUUCGGGUUGGAAACUGCUUUUAUAAGGGAGAAAUAUGAGGGUAACUUAUGAAUAAGGAUCGGCUAACUACGGGCAAGCAGCCGCGGUUAUACGUAGGAUCCGAGCAUUAUCCGGAGUGACUGGGUGUAAAGAGUUGCGUAGGUGGCAUAAUAAGUAGCUAGUGAAAUCUGGUGGCUCAAACAUUCAGACUAUUAGCUAAACUGUUAAGCUCGAGACCGUGAGGGGCAUCUGGAAUGUCUAGUGUAGGAGUGAAAUCCGUAGAUAUUAGAAGGAACACCAAUAGCGUAGGCAGGAUGCUGGGACGGUUCUGACACUAAGGCACGAAAGCGUAGGGAGCAAACGGGAUUAGAUACCCCUGUAGUC